AUCCUCCAAGGCUAAAUACUCCUGAUUGACCGAUAGUGAACCAGUACCGUGAGGGAAAGGCGAAAAGAACCCCGGCGAGGGGAGUGAAAAAGAACCUGAAACCGUGUACGUACAAGCAGUAGGAGCCCCAUCACUCAAGUGCCUCGCACUGAGUGAUGCAAGAACAUCACCGAAAAUAGCGCCGAAUUUGCUAACAAGGUUGGUCGAUUUUUUCAAGCCGUCGCGCAGUGUACCUAGAAGUACACGAGCAACGGAAGUUAAAAAAUCGGGCAAGAUUGAACGCAAAGG
This 288-nucleotide ribosomal RNA is filed under the name Proteus mirabilis. Its description in RNAcentral is "partial 23S ribosomal RNA". The stretch from base 1 to 109 matches the Rfam family "Bacterial large subunit ribosomal RNA", at positions 455 to 563 of the family's 2925-position model. Lineage: Bacteria; Pseudomonadati; Pseudomonadota; Gammaproteobacteria; Enterobacterales; Morganellaceae. The record is from RNAcentral.